RNAcentral lists this long non-coding RNA (533 nucleotides) under Apteryx rowi (Okarito brown kiwi). RNAcentral describes it as "lncRNA (ENSARWG00000014805.1)". The record is from RNAcentral. Lineage: Eukaryota; Metazoa; Chordata; Aves; Apterygiformes; Apterygidae.
CUUGUGCUGCAGGGUCCUGGUGCAGACACAGCUGUGCAGUGCCCUGCAAACACAGAGACCUCGCCAGCCUGAAGCAUGGACUGGUUGAAUGGGUCUCAUGUGGGACAGAUAGGAUGGGGUAGGCCUGUUUUCUUGGGGAUGACAAGUUGAACUUCUCUCUUUCUGUCCGCAGGUCCCUUAGCAGGCUGAGAAGGGAGGGCAGGAGGCCUCACGGACACCACAGCCACUGGGACAAGGGUUUGCGGGGCAAGAGUAGUGUCGAGGCAAAGGUAAAGGGGCUGGAAGCCCGAACAGCAGGCACCAGUUGCAGUUUGUUUGUCAGGCGCGCAGAAUGAGGACGAGACUGCAGAGCUGUUGCUGAUGCACAGGAUACAAUGGCCACAGCAGAUCAGAGCUGACGGAGCCAAACCGGAAAAGCAGUGGGGACAGCAAUGCCUGCAAGCACAGGGAGGAGCAGCCAAGAGAAGCUGUCCCAGUGCAGAAGCUCUCUUGGGCUGGUGCAUGUGGCUACCCAGGCUUCUGGGAUGGUAUUU